CCCUCCCAUAAAAUAGGCCAAAUUUAAAAGGAAAAUGUAUUAAUAGAUUCUAAAAUAUAUCUUUAAAUAGCUGUCUUUUCUAAAUAUUCCUAAACAUUUAUAAUUUUCCCCCUACUGGCUGUUUCUUACUACAUGUUUUAAAGAUGAGAAAAAAUGGUGAAAAAUGUAUUUCUCAUGGUUGAAAUAGUACCACAAUGCAAGCUCUGUAAAGACUCCAAUAGAAACUGUUAAGAAACAAGCUAUCAGAGCACCAGAAGAAAUGAUGGGACAAAAUACUUAAAAUAGAUUCACCAAAUAAAUUUAAAUUAAUAGAUACAUAGAUGAUUCAAACAACAUCAAUGACUUAAGAUGUUGAUUUUUUUUUGUCAGCUCAACAUCCAGCUCUAGUAAAAAGUAACACUUUCUUGGCCAAUGUCAACAACAAAAAACUACAAAACCUAUUUCAUAGUGGGUUAGGAGGACUAAUUCUUGAUAAUCUCAUCCCUUGAAGACAAGGUUCCUUACUUCAAGAGCUAGGAGAAACAGAAUCCAAGCAGACAUUAUUAGCAUAUUUUUAUACAGAACAUUUUUAGCUUUGUAUAUAAAUGUGAAUUUCUCAUCUUGGAAUGUAUAUUUUUCUCUCAACUUGUUCCAUUUAUAGCUAAGAAAAAAAUAGGGGGUCUUGUAUAGUAAUGUGUAGGAAAAAUAUAAAGGAAUAUAUUUGACAGUGCCAAGUCAAACAGACAUUGAGUCACAUACAUAUCAAAUCUUCUGAGAAUAAAAAACAGUGACAUCUUCUAUUAGCAUGUUUUUCCUUCCAGGUGGAACAAUGAGGAACCUGGAGUAUUUGUUGACCUACAUUGAAACCCACAUUGGAAGGGCUUCCUCCCCUGAAAAGGUCUCCUUUCUCUGAAGUUCCUCUUGCAGAUAACUGAGUGUAGGCUCAGAGAGGUGCGGUGUGGGACAGAGAAAGGGAAAAAAGAAAAGGGAAUAAAAGUAGCUGACUCUAAAAUAUUAAUACAACCCAUCAGUAAUAGAAUUAAAUACAUUGAAUAUUUUACUAGCAAUUCUAAUAUUUUCCUAUUUGCUUUAUUGGGCAUAUUUGGGUGUUCAAAGAAAUUUGCUAACAAAAAUUCUGUUAUAGUUAGACACAGUAAGUUAGCCUAUAAUUUGGAGGUAUAGGACCUUACCAGGCUUAAUUGGAAAUGCCUGCCUUUGAUCUGUUUCAUAGAUGAGAGAAAGCAACCUGCGUUAGGGGAGAAGUUCAAAAUGUCAACUGGUGGAAUGCACACAAUACCUGUGUAAUGGCAAUCAGUUCAUCAUCAACCACUUUUUCAUAAGGACCUAGUCAACUGUUUUUUCAUUAGUUUCUCAUGCACAAACACUGCAGACUGAUACCAAAUCAUAACAAACGCCAGCUAUUAAAGGAUAGGAAGGACAAUGCAAAUAAGACUUUCAAAUAAUAAAGGAACGUAAAAAAAAUAAAACUUUAAAAAUCUAAACCUUUUCUUCAUGAUAAAGACUUUUAGGUCCCACACCUCUAAAAUCCCAUCUUGAAAAUUUAAACAAAAUUGCUGCAGUAAUUUACCAUUACUAACAUUAUCCCACUGAUGGAUCUUGUAUUAAUGCUGUUAAUCUUUAUCUACAUCAUUACAAUGAUCAUCAUAUUUAUAGAAUAUUCCACUGAAA
Long non-coding RNA from Callithrix jacchus (white-tufted-ear marmoset), 1668 nucleotides. NCBI's taxonomy places the organism in Eukaryota, Metazoa, Chordata, Mammalia, Primates, Cebidae. The record is from Ensembl.